UUGCUUUGGGAGCACAUUUAUUAAAAUCAGAAUGAUACCAAGAAGAUUAGCAUGGCCCCUGCCCAAGAAUGACAUGCAAAUUCAUGAAGCAUUCCAUAUUUUU
This is a small nuclear RNA of Otolemur garnettii (small-eared galago), 103 nucleotides long. NCBI's taxonomy places the organism in Eukaryota, Metazoa, Chordata, Mammalia, Primates, Galagidae. The record is from Ensembl.